RNAcentral lists this ribosomal RNA (267 nucleotides) under uncultured prokaryote. RNAcentral describes it as "partial 16S ribosomal RNA". It matches the Rfam family "Bacterial small subunit ribosomal RNA", at positions 524 to 788 of the family's 1533-position model. The record is from RNAcentral.
UACGGAGGGUGCAAGCGUUAUCCGGAAUCACUGGGCGUAAAGGGCGCGUAGGCGGCCUGUUAAGUCCGAUGUUAAAGACUGGGGCUCAACCCCAGCAUUGCGUUGGGAUACUGGCAGGCUUGACGGUUGGGAGAGGCGAGUGGAAUUACCAGUGUAGCGGUGAAAUGCGUAGAUAAUGGUAGGAACACCCAUUGCGAAGGCAGCUCGCUGGACAACACGUGACGCUGAGGCGCGAAAGUGUGGGGAGCAAACCGGAUUAGAUACCCG